This 71-nucleotide transfer RNA is filed under the name Anacanthotermes sp. A MLW-2022a. Its description in RNAcentral is "tRNA-Lys". RNAcentral also lists the same sequence under 1 other name. The record is from RNAcentral. Lineage: Eukaryota; Metazoa; Arthropoda; Insecta; Blattodea; Hodotermitidae.
CAUUAGAUGGCUGAAAGCAAGCAAUGGUCUCUUAAACCAAAAAAUAGUAAAUUAGCGACUACUUCUAAUGA